ACACAUGCAAGUCGAACGAUGAUGCCCAGCUUGCUGGGUGGAUUAGUGGCGAACGGGUGAGUAACACGUGAGUAACCUGCCCCUGACUCUGGGAUAAGCGUUGGAAACGACGUCUAAUACUGGAUAUGACUACNGGCCGCAUGGUCUGGUGGUGGAAAGAUUUUUUGGUUGGGGAUGGACUCGCGGCCUAUCAGCUUGUUGGUGAGGUAAUGGCUCACCAAGGCGACGACGGGUAGCCGGCCUGAGAGGGUGACCGGCCACACUGGGACUGAGACACGGCCCAGACUCCUACGGGAGGCAGCAGUGGGGAAUAUUGCACAAUGGGCGAAAGCCUGAUGCAGCAACGCCGCGUGAGGGAUGACGGCCUUCGGGUUGUAAACCUCUUUUAGUAGGGAAGAAGCGAAAGUGACGGUACCUGCAGAAAAAGCACCGGCUAACUACGUGCCAGCAGCCGCGGUAAUACGUAGGGUGCAAGCGUUGUCCGGAAUUAUUGGGCGUAAAGAGCUCGUAGGCGGUUUGUCGCGUCUGCUGUGAAAUCCCGAGGCUCAACCUCGGGCUUGCAGUGGGUACGGGCAGACUAGAGUGCGGUAGGGGAGAUUGGAAUUCCUGGUGUAGCGGUGGAAUGCGCAGAUAUCAGGAGGAACACCGAUGGCGAAGGCAGAUCUCUGGGCCGUAACUGACGCUGAGGAGCGAAAGCGUGGGGAGCGAACAGGAUUAGAUACCCUGGUAGUCCACGCCGUAAACGUUGGGCGCUAGAUGUAGGGACCUUUCCACGGUUUCUGUGUCGUAGCUAACGCAUUAAGCGCCCCGCCUGGGGAGUACGGCCGCAAGGCUAAAACUCAAAGGAAUUGACGGGGGCCCGCACAAGCGGCGGAGCAUGCGGAUUAAUUCGAUGCAACGCGAAGAACCUUACCAAGGCUUGACAUACACCGGUAACGGCCAGAGAUGGUCGCCCCCUUGUGGUCGGUGUACAGGUGGUGCAUGGUUGUCGUCAGCUCGUGUCGUGAGAUGUUGGGUUAAGUCCCGCAACGAGCGCAACCCUCGUUCUAUGUUGCCAGCGCGUUAUGGCGGGGACUCAUAGGAGACUGCCGGGGUCAACUCGGAGGAAGGUGGGGAUGACGUCAAAUCAUCAUGCCCCUUAUGUCUUGGGCUUCACGCAUGCUACAAUGGCCGGUACAAAGGGCUGCGAUACCGUAAGGUGGAGCGAAUCCCAAAAAGCCGGUCUCAGUUCGGAUUGAGGUCUGCAACUCGACCUCAUGAAGUCGGAGUCGCUAGUAAUCGCAGAUCAGCAACGCUGCGGUGAAUACGUUCCCGGGCCUUGUACACACCGCCCGUCAAGUCAUGAAAGUCGGUAACACCCGAAGCCGGUGGCCUAACCCUUGUGGAAGGAGCCGUCGAAGGUGGGAU
RNAcentral lists this ribosomal RNA (1407 nucleotides) under Curtobacterium oceanosedimentum. RNAcentral describes it as "bacterial SSU rRNA". It matches the Rfam family "Bacterial small subunit ribosomal RNA". The record is from RNAcentral. Lineage: Bacteria; Bacillati; Actinomycetota; Actinomycetes; Micrococcales; Microbacteriaceae.